This 6994-nucleotide long non-coding RNA is filed under the name Nicotiana benthamiana. RNAcentral's name for it is "long non-coding RNA (NBEN_LNC011183)". The record is from RNAcentral. Lineage: Eukaryota; Viridiplantae; Streptophyta; Magnoliopsida; Solanales; Solanaceae.
UCGACCGUAGUUUGAGCACCCAUAAACCUCCUUCAUGGAAUUGUUGGCUUCCAAGUGAUGCAAAUAUGAGCUUCAACUCCACAAUGACAAAAUAAAGGUCUUUAAUUAAUUAUCACAAACUAGAAAAUGCAAUUAAAAAAAAAGCUUAAGAUAUUAAGAAAGAAAGUAGGCGAAAUGAGAAGUUCAGAUGAAUAUAAUAGAGGGAUUAUGUGUUUCCAAUUGAAAAGGAUAAGACCCCACGUAAAUAGCCCUAUUUUCGUCCGUUGGGCGUAGGAAGAGGUUCUCUCAUGCUCCUAAAAUUCGUGACAUACAUGCAGGGGGCUGGCUAGGACCAACUAACGCCACAUAGGAUGGGUCAACGGUCAAAUAUGUUUAUUAGCUUUAGGUUUUAGGAGUUUAAGUGUUCAAAUGAGAAAGUCGAAAGUUCAUAUAUCGGUUUUAAAAUCGGCCGCAGGUUUGAGUGACCAAGAAACCAUUUCGCCAUAAAUGAAUUCAAAAAUAAUUUGCUAGUUGUUGCUAUUCUUUUUAGUUUUUUAAAAAAUAUAAUUGUCCAUUUAUUUAUAUUUAGUAUCAUAUUUUGGCAAGGUUGUCUGGUUAAUUUGUUGACUGUAAUAACAACAUAUCUUUGUAUUAAGAUCGAACAAAUUAAAUGCUUAAAUGGCAGUGAGGUAAUGCUUAAAAUCAACAUCUCCAAAGUUAAGUAAUUUGUUUUAUUGACAUUAAAAUGAAAUUAAUUUGUUUUCAGUUUUGUAAGAAAAAUGUACAAUCAAAAUAAAAGUUUUUCAUGGUUUUUUUAUUUAUUCGAUAUGUGCAUUUAUAGUUGGGAAAAAAAAGAUAUUUAUAUUAAGUAGUUACCGUACGUACUCCACUAAAUUUAGUUUUUUGAUUGAGACUAACCUCUUUGAUUGAGACUUGAUUUUAGCGAAGUGCUACCUCUCUGGCUCUCAUAUAACUAAAAGAUAGGAGUAAUAUAAUUGAAAAAGAAAAAUAAAUUGUUUAUUUGUUUCUCAAAUCAAGUGGUGCCCCAGCUGUAAUAGCUAAUUAUUCAAAUCUAAAAAAAAUGAUUCUUUUACUUUGGAAUCAAAUGGUGGCCCACCAUAAUCUUCACCUUUUAUUUAAAAAAAACUAAGGUUAUAUUUUCUUUAUUACACAUCUCAAAGUUAUUUUUCUUUCUUCCAUUUAUAAUAAAAUUUCGGCUAGAAGCAUAUAUAAUGUGACGUUCAUGGCUUUCUGGUAACCAUGGAGAUAAGGAUAUCUCGUCUUAGCAAUAAAUCAAAUGAAAAUGCAAGCAAUCGAAUUUCACACUUUUGUUCCUUUUCUUACGAACCAUCAUUUCCUGCAGAAAUCCUACUCUUCCUUAUUAUUUAUAUUUUUUGUAUACUGAAUGAAUCUAUUUUAUUCUAAUUUAAUUUAAGAAGAAAAAAUCACGCUCCGUAGGAUUUGAACCUACGACGUCGUGUAUUGGAGACCCGCGUUCUACCGAACUGAAUUAAAAGCACUUUCUUAUCAAAAUAGAUAAGACCCUAAAUAACGCACAUCUCAACUAUUCCAUUAGAUAGUUCCUAUUAAUAAUUUCGGGCACUAAGAUGUAGAUUGACAAAAAUAAUUACGUGGUAUUUUAUAGUUUUGUAUGGGUCAGAAUCCGACCCCAUGAUAAUUAAUGAAAUUAAUUCCAUCUUAAGCUAAUGCGUGAUUAAUAAGUGGUAUGACCACUUAUUAAUAAUGGUACCCCAUAGUCACCCGGCUCGAUCAACAAGGCUAUGGCCCAUCCGAUAUCAUAAGGGCGGAACCUCAACUUGGUCACGACGACUUAUCGCCAGCUCAUAAAGCUUAUAGCUAUAAAUACCAAGAGAAGAAACACUAAAAAUGGGGCAGCUUCUUGUUCAUCACUGUUCCCAAGGAAAGGGGAACGUCAUUGUAAGACUCUGAACCUCUCUAUGGAGAGACAAACCAAAUCAAUAUUAUCAAUAAAAGCUCUUUACAUAUUUCUCCUUAAUUCAUAACACUUGCUUUACGUUUCUUUCACUUGGUUCCUUGAUUUGUUACGAUCUUCUAUGAUUGGUGUGACGACUCAAAGGGUCAUCAUCGUAAUUCUUCUUUUUUUCCAUUCUUUUGAGGCCUUAAAAACCUCGCUUUUAGUUGCUUCGAUUUGCGUGCACAAUCCGAGCGCGUAGCCGGAAAGGUUUUACGUUGAAAUAUGUGUAUUUUGUAAAAAAUUUGAAGAAUUUUGAUAUUAAUAUUGAUAAAGUUGACUUUGGUUAACAUUUUAGGUAACCGGAUCCCUGAGUGAAGGUCAUGUGAGGUCCGUAGAAAAAUAUGGACCCGAGCGUACUCCCGGAAUCAAAAUCCGAGGUCCCGAGCCCGAGUAAAAAAAUUUUGAAAGAAAUUAUUUUUCUGAAAAUGAUAUGAAAAUUUGAAACGAAAAUGAGUUAGAAAAUAUAGGUAUCGGGAACGUAUUUGGUUCCGGCACAGGUCUUAAAUAUGUGUCAAGCACUAUCUGUAAAGUUUGGUUGAAAACGGACGUCGUUUGACGUGUUUCGGACUAAAAUGGGAAAUUUGGGAUUUAUCAAAGUUGAAAGAAAAAUUAUGUUGUGAGGCUUGAUUCAUAGAUUUUGAAGUCAUUUUGGAGAUUUGAUCGCACGAGUAAAUCCGUAGGAUAUUUUUGAGGUUGUGUGCAUGUUUGAUUUACAGCCCCGAGGGCUCGGGUAAGUUUUGGAUAGGGGUUAGGUUGCCAUUUGACCUUAGAAAAAUCUGGUGUGUGGGCUUCUGCAGUUUUUGCAAUUGCGAAGGGGAGGCUCACAAAUGCGAGUUAUUAGUCGCCAAAGCGAAGUCUGAGUGGCCUGGGCAGGGAUCGCAAAUGGGAUCUCCGGUCUCGCAAAUGCGGACAGGACCUGAUCGCAAAUGCGAACAAUGGGGUCGCAAAUGCGAAGGUCCCUGGGCUGUGCUGUGUUCGCAAUUGCGAAUGUUUCUUCGCAAUUCCCAAUCUAGCAGGGUCGGGGUUCGCAAUUGCGAACCUCGGUUCACAAAUUCCAUGAAUGCACCUGUGCAUUUCCAUACUUGGACGAAUUUAAACCCGUUUUCUUCAUUCUUUCAAAACACAAACUCCAUUGGCGAUUUUUCACGAACUCUCUCUUCUCCAAAUCAAUUGUAAGUUAACUUUUAACUAAUUUCUUCAAUCUUUAACAUCAUCUAUCAUGUUUUAAUCUUAGAAUCAAGGAAUUUCAUGGGUGAACAAUUUGUAACAUCACCUAUCAUGUUUUUAUCUUAAAAUCAAGGAAUUUCAUGGGUGAAAUUGGGGAUUUUGAGUAGAACCUAGGUUUUUCACUAAAUUGGGGAUUUGGACCUCAAUUUGAGGUCCGAUUUCAAAAUAAAUUAUAUAUAUGAACUCAUGGGGGAAUGUGUAAUUCGAUUUUUGUUCGAACCCCGGGUUUUGACCACGUGGUCUCGGGGGCAUUUUGGGAAUUUUUGGGCAAAAUUUGGGAAAUUCAUUCUUAUGUAUUCAAAUUGAUUUAACUAGCAUUUGCUAAUACAUUUGAGUAAUUUGUUACUAGAUUCGAGCAAUUUUGUGGUGAAUUCGAGGGGUAAAGCUAUACUAGAGGCUUGAGUUGAGUUUGGAGCUUUCGAGGUAAGUGUUUGUUCUAACUUUUGCUUGAUGGAUUAGGAUUAGGGUUUUAUUUGCUACCUGUUAAUUGUGGAGUACGGUGCAUAGGCAUGGUGACGGUUAUCUAUGCACCGGAGUCUAGCAUGACCGUGAGUCUUAUAUGUGUNNNNNNNNNNNNNNNNNNNNNNNNNNNNNNNNNNNNNNNNNNNNNNNNNNNNNNNNNNNNNNNNNNNNNNNNNNNNNNNNGUGAGUCUUAUAUGUGUUGGAUUCGGAUUUAAUGAUACAUCUUUCUUGCUUGGUUGAUAAGUUUAAUAUAAAGUGAAUAGUUGAGGAAGGUUUGUGACUAAUUUGUUAUUUGGAGCAUUGGCUCGGACUAAAAAUUGUUACUCGAGAAAUGAGUGAUUAAAAGUGGAACGUGUUGUGAUUAUUCCCUUGCCAGGAUUUAAGUAUUUAUUGUAUUCUCCCUUGCUGGGAUAUUUGACUUGUUAAUUGUAUUCCCUUGCCGGGAAUUCUUGCAAUUGUUGUUACUCCCCUCUCACUUGAGUUGCGAUCGUUGGUUGGGUGAGUUCUUGGUAUUAAAUGUUGAGGAUCGGGCUGCGCGCCGCAACGGUGUAGAUAAAUAUUGAGGAUCGGGUUGCACGCCACAACAGUAUUAAUUGUUGAGGAUCGUGUUGCAAGCCGCAACGGUGUUGAUGAAUAUGGAGAAUCGGGUUGCACGCCGCAAUGGUAUUAAUUGUUGAGGAUCGGGUUGCACACCGCAAUGGUGAAAUAUGUUGAGGACCGGUUGCGCGCCACAAUAGAGUAUGGACUGAGUGUAUUGUUUUCGUAUGUAGAGACUUCCUGUUUUCCCUUAUCAGUUGUUAUUGUUCAGCUUCACUUCUUUACCGAUGAUUUCUAUAUUUAGACUGUCGUACCCCACAGCAUGCUCCCCCUCAUUUAAUUGUUUAAAUUAGUGUAUUUCAUGUUAUUGCACAUAUAUCUGUACAGGUUAUUGCACACUCUGUGCAUUUUUGCGCACAGAUCAGGACGCAUCUUACGGACCACAACAGUGGGAUUUCUAGGAGUUAUCUUCAGUCCAGGGACUCUCGAGGUAGCCUAGUUGGCGUUCGCAGGCCGAAGUCCCUUACUUUAUUUUUUGUUUUUUCAUCUUGUAUAUGACAAACACUAUGUACUUUAUUUCCAGACACUGUUUGUAGUAUUCAGUAGUAGUCCGUGAGUAGUGACACCAGAUAUUGGCUAGAGGUAUAUAUUGAACCUUCCGCAUUUCCGUUUUCAGUUAAUUAAGUAUUUAAAAGUCUUAUGCUUUAAUUAUUGUAUCAGUUUAUCUUAAUUGCUUAAAUGAAUUUUGUAGAAAUGUUGUAAUGUUUGGAUUGCCUAGUUACAAUAGUAGGCGCCAUUACGACUUCCGAUGGUGGGAAAUCCGAGUCAUGACAAUUGGCCCUUGAUUAAUUUUGAUUAUUUUAUGCUUGUAUAGUGUAUGAUAACUUUGAGCCAAAUAAUUUGGCGCCAUCUGUGGGGAUUUCGUAGCAGAAUCACAUAGUUCUUCCCUGGACCAAAAGGAAAGAAAUGCCGGAAAGAGAAAGCAACCCAGAUCAAGCGAGCCAAAGCAACACGUUGGAUAAAGGGAACCCAAGGACUUCGACAAGUACAUGAACCUCUCACCCCUCCAUUCUCGAAUAAGUGUAAGAAGAGGAAGAAGAUGUAAGCCCCCCCUCCCCGGGGAGAACACAUGUACGGCACCCCCGUAUCCCUGAUACAGGAUCCUGUCGGAAAACAGCCCAAAGAGAUCUCAAACUGAGAACCAUCACGAGGUAACCCGCACACCAUAGUCGAGAAGACAACGCAUAAAUGUGCGAAAUCUUAAAUCAAAACCGAUCUCUAACACCCCACACCUAUGACAAUGGGUCGUGCAGAAGAAGUAAGGUCAACAAAAAGCUCAACUACAAGUUGAACUGGGACUCAGGCUAUGUGCCUUCGCCAACAAAAAUUACAAGUUCAACUACGCUUGAACCAGGACUCAGGCUACGUGCCUUCGCCAUGUCACACCUCCCUUUUACGCCCCCGCGAGGGGGCGCAAGGGUGUUUUUAAAACUAAAGGACAAUCAAAACGGGAGUAUUUAUUAAAGAUUCAGAGUCGCCACUUUUACCCUACCAUCCACUAGAAGCUUCUUAAGUAUGUGAGAUAAACCUUUUUAUUAAACAAAUCUCUGGCUAAUUCAACUAAAUGGGUUCAGGUCUAAUUAUGCUAGCAAGACGAGAUCAGAAAAUUGAAAGCAAGAAAUCAGUUAUUUUAAACCAUAGCCAUGGUUGAUCUUUUCAUCAAUAGACGAAACAAAGCACAAGGUGUUGUGUGUUUUCAAAUAGGACUGAGUGAACCAACACUUCAAACUUCGUAUACUUGAAUUAUCACUUCACGAUAACAUACUGACUAAAGCGAUUAGCUCAGACUUCAAAAGGUACAACAAAAUUGAGGCAGGAUGCUUCGGAAAAUGUCAACAUAACAACCAUGUAACAUUCAAACAGAGAUAUCACAUGCUUAUUUAAGACAACGAACCUGCGUCUAUUCACAUAAAAGCUUAAAGCAAACAGAACCAAAAUAGAUGUUUAUUAAAUCUAAGUUUCCUACUUAAAUAGAAUAAAAACAAUGGGAACAAAUCGCGAAAACUUUGUCGAGCGUAAAACAAAAUUUCGAGGCAGCAUUCAAACACAAUCCCUUUCAAACUAUCUGUCAAGAACUACAAAUUCAUAUCAAAUUGCGGAACGGAAAAAUUCAGAACUUAAUUCACAUGUAAACUCAACCAAGCCAAGUAGAAAAAUUCAUGAAAAUGGCAAACAAACACAAAUAUUCACAUGAGAAGUGACAAAAGAGGAAGAGUCUGGAAUCGGACCUUUAGUCAAGCUUUCCAAUUUAAAAUUUCCUCUGAGCAACACACGAAAGGGAUGCCAACAACAAAACAGAACUACAACUACUGAAAUCGGAUCAAAUAAAUCACAAUUAGAAAUUCGAACAAGACCCAAUGGAACCUCGGAUUUAAACCCGGACAGCUCUUCAACUCUAACUCGAACUCCACCAAUUGAUUUCAACAAAAUAAAAAUCGAACUCGCCGAUGUUUCUGAUUUUGGAGUGAACAAGAAAUUGAGGGGUCGGUUUUGAGUGUUGUUAUGGUUGUUGGAGACGGGUGGUGAUGCCGAUGGAUUUUUAGGGGGGCUCGUGAAGGAGAUGAAACCGAGGGGGUGGGGUUCGACUAGUUGGGGCUAGUAGUGUGUGGUUGUUGGUGGACUGGUGGUUGACGGAAAGGAGAAGGACGAGCUGCUGGUGGUUCGGGCGACGUGGGUGUUCGUUUGGCGUGGUGCUGCGGUGGUGGCUGGAAAAUGAAAGAAAGGGGGUCUCUA